GACGAACGCUGGCGGCGUGCUUAACACAUGCAAGUCGAACGCGCCUGUCCUCUGGGUUUCUGGGGGGUGGGUGAGUGGCGAACGGGUGAGUAACACGUGAGUAACCUGCCCCCUUCUUCGGGAUAACGGUCUGAAAGGGCUGCUAAUACCGGGUAUUCACUGGUCUCCGCAUGGGGUCUGGUGGAAAGGUUUUUUCUGGUGGGGGAUGGGCUCGCGGCCUAUCAGCUUGUUGGUGGGGUGAUGGCCCACCAAGGCUUUGACGGGUAGCCGGCCUGAGAGGGUGACCGGUCACAUUGGGACUGAGCUACGGCCCAGACUCCUACGCGAGGCAGCAGUGGGGAAUAUUGCACAAUGGGCGCAAGCCUGAUGCAGCGCCGCCGCGUGAGGGAUGGCGGCCUUCGGGUUGUGAACCUCUUUCGCCCGUGGUCAAGCCGCGACGUGGGUCGUGGUGAGGGUAGUGGGUAAAGAAGCGCCGGCUAACUACGUG
RNAcentral lists this ribosomal RNA (487 nucleotides) under uncultured bacterium. RNAcentral's name for it is "partial 16S ribosomal RNA". It matches the Rfam family "Bacterial small subunit ribosomal RNA", at positions 28 to 507 of the family's 1533-position model. The record is from RNAcentral.